Molecule: long non-coding RNA, 1169 nt
Filed under: Meleagris gallopavo (turkey)
Lineage: Eukaryota; Metazoa; Chordata; Aves; Galliformes; Phasianidae
Description: lncRNA (ENSMGAG00000018043.1)
Source: RNAcentral
AUGUUACUCACCCCGAAGGCGGCGCGGCCGACAGCGAGGUCCGGCGGCGGCCCCGUGCUGAAACCGCCCGCGCUAACUGACGGACAAUUCAAAUCCCAACAUCCGCCAGCGUACCGGAAGUCUGGAGCCCGCCUCUCGCCCCGCCCACCAUCCCAUCCAUUGCACCGGCUCUCGGCCGCCUUCACUGGGUCGGCGGGAGGAGAUUCGAGAUCUCGGGAAUCGGCUCUCGGCUGGGUCUGCCCCGGGAGGGCUGGCGGUAGAGGCGGAGCCCCGCAGCCCCGCGCUCCGCCCACUCUCGGGAGGCGUACGCAGCGGGCACUGCGCGCUCGGCGUCUGCCUCUUUCUGUCCCUGCGAUGCAAAGCGUAGAAUCACUACAGACUUUACAUGCAGGCCUUGCAGACUGUAGAAACAGGCAGUCUCCUGAAAGCCUAUUCUGGAGUAGAUUUACAGAAUCAUGGAAUCGUUUGAGUUGAAUCUCAGCCAUCUCAUCCAACUGCCCUGCAACGAACAGGGGCACCUACAGCUUCAUCAGGUGCUCAGAGCACUCCAUCCUGACCCUGAGUGUCUCCAGGGACAGGCUGUCUACCACCUGUGGGAAAGCUGUUCCAGCACCUCACCACCCCUAUUGUAAAAAACAUCUUCCUUAUAUCCAGGCUAAAUUUCCUCUCUUUCAUUUUGAGACCAUUUCCCCUUGUCCUAUCACAAAAGACACUGCUAAAAAGUCUGUCCCUAUUGUUCUUAUAUCAUUUAGUCUUACUUAAGGAAACAGGAUUUGUUUGUUUGUUUUUCCCUGAGAAAUUCACUUCAAGAAGAAAAUACUAUUCUAUGUAUCCUACCUGUAAGGCUGGAGUGCUGAUUUGUUUUUCCUAUACUUGAUAGGAAGCUUGCACAGACAAUUAUAUUUGUGAUAGUAAAAUGGAAUUUUUGAAAUAAUAAAGUUUUGUAUUUAAUUUUUACAUAAAUUCUUUGUUGUUUGAAUGCUGCUGUCACAGAACAGACGCACACGCUGUUGACCGCAGUGAACACAUCAACUGUUAGCUCACGCAGUAAUGGAAACAGUGACUUCACAGGGGGCACAUACAUACAAUACACGCUGCAGCUGCACAGAUGUGACCAACAGAUGUGGCCUGAUCCUUUUCUUAAACAGUGGCUAAUUAGACUUAAAGCA